GUAGGUGGCAAGCGUUGUCCGGAAUUAUUGGGCGUAAAGCGCGCGCAGGCGGUUUUUUAAGUCUGAUGUGAAAGCCCACGGCUCAACCGUGGAGGGUCAUUGGAAACUGGAGAACUUGAGUACAGAAGAGGAAAGCGGAAUUCCACGUGUAGCGGUGAAAUGCGUAGGGAUGUGGAGGAACACCAGUGGCGAAGGCGGCUUUCUGGUCUGUAACUGACGCUGAGGCGCGAAAGCGUGGGGAGCAAACAGGAUUAGAUACCCUGGUAGUCCACGCCGUAAACGAUGAGUGCUGAGUGUUAGGGGGUUUCCCGCCCCUUAGUGCUGCAGCUAACGCAUUAAGCACUCCCGCCUGGGGAGUACGCCCGCAAGGCUG
This 373-nucleotide ribosomal RNA is filed under the name uncultured organism. RNAcentral describes it as "partial 16S ribosomal RNA". It matches the Rfam family "Bacterial small subunit ribosomal RNA", at positions 527 to 896 of the family's 1533-position model. The record is from RNAcentral.